RNAcentral lists this ribosomal RNA (506 nucleotides) under uncultured bacterium. RNAcentral describes it as "partial 16S ribosomal RNA". It matches the Rfam family "Bacterial small subunit ribosomal RNA", at positions 30 to 523 of the family's 1533-position model. The record is from RNAcentral.
AUUGAACGCUGGCGGCAUGCCUAACACAUGCAAGUCGAACGGCAGCGCGUUUGGGGUAACCCAAAUGGCGGCGAGUGGCGGACGGGUGAGUAAUAUGUAGGAAUCUGCCCAGAGAUAAGGGAUAACUUAGGGAAACUUAAGCUAAUACCAUAUAAGCGCGAGAGGGGAAAGCAGGGGACCGAACGGCCUUGCGUCUGUGGAUGAGCCUACAUCGGAUUAGCUUGUUGGUGAGGUAAAGGCUCACCAAGGCGACGAUCCGUAGCUGGUCUGAGAGGAUGACCAGCCACACUGGGACUGAGACACGGCCCAGACUCCUACGGGAGGCAGCAGUGGGGAAUAUUGGACAAUGGGGGAAACCCUGAUCCAGCAAUGCCGCGUGUGUGAAGAAGGCCUUCGGGUUGUAAAGCACUUUCAGUUGGGAGGAAGGGGUGAGCACUAAUACUGUUCAUCAUUGACGUUACCGACAGAAGAAGCACCGGCUAACUCUGUGCCAGCCGCCGCAGUAA